CAGCCCUGGGCAUUUGCAUUCU
This 22-nucleotide microRNA is filed under the name Gallus gallus (chicken). Its description in RNAcentral is "gga-miR-12270-3p". The record is from miRBase by way of RNAcentral. Lineage: Eukaryota; Metazoa; Chordata; Aves; Galliformes; Phasianidae.